GGGGUAGUGCUGGAACUGGUAGACAGGCAUGUGCCGUGAGGGUUCGAGUCCCUCCUACCCUA
This 62-nucleotide transfer RNA is filed under the name Caudoviricetes sp. RNAcentral's name for it is "tRNA-OTHER". It matches the Rfam family "tRNA". From Rfam's summary of the family: Transfer RNA (tRNA) molecules are approximately 80 nucleotides in length. The record is from RNAcentral. Lineage: Duplodnaviria; Heunggongvirae; Uroviricota; Caudoviricetes.